RNAcentral lists this ribosomal RNA (609 nucleotides) under uncultured bacterium. RNAcentral's name for it is "bacterial SSU rRNA". The stretch from base 1 to 517 matches the Rfam family "Bacterial small subunit ribosomal RNA", at positions 338 to 873 of the family's 1533-position model. The record is from RNAcentral.
CCUACGGGAGGCAGCAGUGGGGAAUCUUGCGCAAUGGGCGAAAGCCUGACGCAGCCAUGCCGCGUGAAUGAUGAAGGUCUUAGGAUUGUAAAAUUCUUUCACCGGGGACGAUAAUGACGGUACCCGGAGAAGAAGCCCCGGCUAACUUCGUGCCAGCAGCCGCGGUAAUACGAAGGGGGCUAGCGUUGCUCGGAAUUACUGGGCGUAAAGGGAGCGUAGGCGGAUAGUUUAGUCAGAGGUGAAAGCCCAGGGCUCAACCUUGGAAUUGCCUUUGAUACUGGCUAUCUUGAGUUUGGGAGAGGUGAGUGGAACUCCGAGUGUAGAGGUGAAAUUCGUAGAUAUUCGGAAGAACACCAGUGGCGAAGGCGACUCACUGGCCCAAUACUGACGCUGAGGCUCGAAAGCGUGGGGAGCAAACAGGAUUAGAUACCCUGGUAGUCCACGCCGUAAACGAUGAGUGCUAGUUGUCGGCAUGCAUGCAUGUCGGUGACGCAGCUACGCAUAAGACACCUCCGCCGUCGGGGAGGUACGGUCGCGAGAAGUUAAAACGUUAAAACGGUAAGUUAGACGGCGUGAGACGUCGCCGACGGACGACGACGAGGGAGGAGG